AGAGUUUGAUCCUGGCUCAGGAUGAACGCUAGCUACAGGCUUAACACAUGCAAGUCGAGGGGAAACGAUAUUGGAAGCUUGCUUCCGAUAGGCGUCGACCGGCGCACGGGUGAGUAACGCGUAUCCAACCUGCCCACCACUUGGGGAUAACCUUGCGAAAGUAGGACUAAUACCCAAUGACGUCUCUAGAAGACAUCUGAAGGAGAUUAAAGAUUUAUCGGUGAUGGAUGGGGAUGCGUCUGAUUAGCUUGUUGGCGGGGUAACGGCCCACCAAGGCAACGAUCAGUAGGGGUUCUGAGAGGAAGGUCCCCCACAUUGGAACUGAGACACGGUCCAAACUCCUACGGGAGGCAGCAGUGAGGAAUAUUGGUCAAUGGGCGAGAGCCUGAACCAGCCAAGUAGCGUGCAGGAAGACGGCCCUAUGGGUUGUAAACUGCUUUUAUAAGGGAAUAAAGUGAGUCUCGUGAGACUUUUUGCAUGUACCUUAUGAAUAAGGACCGGCUAAUUCCGUGCCAGCAGCCGCGGUAAUACGGAAGGUCCGGGCGUUAUCCGGAUUUAUUGGGUUUAAAGGGAGCGUAGGCCGGAGAUUAAGCGUGUUGUGAAAUGUAGACGCUCAACGUCUGCACUGCAGCGCGAACUGGUUUCCUUGAGUACGCACAAAGUGGGCGGAAUUCGUGGUGUAGCGGUGAAAUGCUUAGAUAUCACGAAGAACUCCGAUUGCGAAGGCAGCUCACUGGAGCGCAACUGACGCUGAAGCUCGAAAGUGCGGGUAUCGAACAGGAUUAGAUACCCUGGUAGUCCGCACGGUAAACGAUGGAUGCCCGCUGUUGGUCUGAACAGGUCAGCGGCCAAGCGAAAGCAUUAAGCAUCCCACCUGGGGAGUACGCCGGCAACGGUGAAACUCAAAGGAAUUGACGGGGGCCCGCACAAGCGGAGGAACAUGUGGUUUAAUUCGAUGAUACGCGAGGAACCUUACCCGGGCUUGAAUUGCAGAGGAAGGAUUUGGAGACAAUGACGCCCUUCGGGGUCUCUGUGAAGGUGCUGCAUGGUUGUCGUCAGCUCGUGCCGUGAGGUGUCGGCUUAAGUGCCAUAACGAGCGCAACCCCUCUCCUUAGUUGCCAUCAGGUUAAGCUGGGCACUCUGGGGACACUGCCACCGUAAGGUGUGAGGAAGGUGGGGAUGACGUCAAAUCAGCACGGCCCUUACGUCCGGGGCUACACACGUGUUACAAUGGCAGGUACAGAGAGAC
RNAcentral lists this ribosomal RNA (1249 nucleotides) under metagenome. Its description in RNAcentral is "bacterial SSU rRNA". It matches the Rfam family "Bacterial small subunit ribosomal RNA", at positions 8 to 1248 of the family's 1533-position model. The record is from RNAcentral.